CCUACGGGACGCAGCAGUGGGGGAUAUUGCACAAUGGGCGCAAGCCUGAUGCAGCCAUGCCGCGUGUGUGAAGAAGGCCUUCGGGUUGUAAAGCACUCUCAGCGGGGAGGAAGGCGGUGAGGUUAAUAACCUCACCGAUUGACGUUACCCGCAGAAGAAGCACCGGCUAACUCCGUGCCAGCAGCCGCGGUAAUACGGAGGGUGCAAGCGUUAAUCGGAAUUACUGGGCGUAAAGCGCACGCAGGCGGUCUGUCAAGUCGGAUGUGAAAUCCCCGGGCUCAACCUGGGAACUGCAUUCGAAACUGGCAGGCCAGAGUCUUGUAGAGGGGGGUAGAAUUCCAGGUGUAGCGGUGAAAUGCGUAGAGAUCUGGAGGAAUACCGGUGGCGAAGGCGGCCCCCUGGACAAAGACUGGCGCUCAGGUGCGAAAGCGUGGGGAGCAAACAGGAUUAGAUACCCUUGUAGUC
Molecule: ribosomal RNA, 465 nt
Filed under: uncultured bacterium
Lineage: Bacteria
Description: bacterial SSU rRNA
Rfam family: Bacterial small subunit ribosomal RNA
Source: RNAcentral